Molecule: transfer RNA, 69 nt
Filed under: Liparis liparis (striped seasnail)
Lineage: Eukaryota; Metazoa; Chordata; Actinopteri; Perciformes; Liparidae
Description: tRNA-Arg
Rfam family: tRNA
About the family: Transfer RNA (tRNA) molecules are approximately 80 nucleotides in length. Their secondary structure includes four short double-helical elements and three loops (D, anti-codon, and T loops).
Source: RNAcentral
AGAUAAUUAGUUUAAAGAAAACCUUUGAUUUCGGCUCAAAAACUUGUGGUUAGACUCCAUAAUCAUCUA